AAUCAGUCUAUGGACUGGAUAUUUUAAAUCCCCUCCUUUGUUUAUUGUAUUUAAAAUUGAUCUAAAAUACUUCUCAG
Sinocyclocheilus grahami is the source of this 77-nucleotide long non-coding RNA. RefSeq lists it as uncharacterized. The transcript has 3 exons. The record is from RefSeq and is a predicted model, not a curated record. NCBI's taxonomy places the organism in Eukaryota, Metazoa, Chordata, Actinopteri, Cypriniformes, Cyprinidae.